GCACCUUCCACUCUACAGGAGAGAAAUAGGCAGCCCAUGGUUCACAGAUAUAUCCAUUUUUGUGAGGGAGCCUGUGGCCAUACCAAGUCCCGAUCACCCACUCACUGAGGAAAUUAUUUCUUCAGAACAACUUGAAUGGACUGAGCAAGCAAUUUUCUCAGAAGUGUCCCCAUUCGAUGGAGAAGCUGAGCUAUUCUCUCUUUUUUUUUUUUUUUUUUUUUUUUUUUUUUGAGACAGAGUCUUGCUCUGUCACCAGGCUGGAGUACAGUGGCGCGAUCUCAGCUCACUGCAACCUCCAUCUUCCGGAUUCAAGAGAUUCUCCUGCCUUAGCCUCCUGAGUAGCUGGGACUACAGGCACGCACCACCACACCCGGCUAAUUUUUGUGUUUUUAGUAGAGACGGGAUUUCAUCAUGUUGGCCAGGCUGGUCUAAAUCUCCUGACCUCGUGAUCUGCCUGCCUUGGUCUCCCAAAGUGCUGGGAUUACAGGCGUGAGCCACCGCGCCCGGCUGAAGCUGGUGUUGACUCCACAGCCUCCUGCUGCUUCCCUUAUACCCCCUAGAAGAUCCCUCAAGAUUUUGCAGCAGACUGUUAUAAAACCUGCAGCCUGUGCUCUAAGCCCAGUGUUGUAUAAGGGCCAUUCCUCCUUCCCAUUCCUGGGGGAGACACUGGAGCAGCCCCCAUGGGUGUAAGGAGGUGGAUUGGACACCAUCCUGGGAAUACCCAGCUCUCUGGGCCCCUCACAGGCACAGAAGAGUCUCUGAGGUAUUUUCUGAACAGUCCAGGGUCAUCAGGGAGACAGGAGAGGCUGGCCAGGGGCAGAGGAAGAGAGAGGGAGGACAUGAUGGCAGGAGGGUGCUGACUGAAGAGAUUCUCAUGAGAUACUCUGGGAAACUGGAACCCUAAGGCAUGGGAGCUGAUUGCUGAGAAAGAGAGAGACUCUGAGAGGACAAGUCAGAAAGAGGGAUGGAGGGGCCACAAUGGGUCCAGAAAUUUCCCAGCUGGCUAGAUUCUUCUUAAUCUUCUGCCUUUCCCCAUAGCUUUCAGACUAAAAGAGGUCAGCUGGUCUGUGUCAACCCCAGAGAUGCUGAGUCCAGGAAUACAUCAAAACCCAGAGCUAAAUCUGAAUAGCCCAGAAAAAAAAAUUAAAUCCAUCAGUAGAUUGGGGAACAGGGAGCUGAGCCAGAAGAAUAGCACUUACAACCCCAGAAGCUACCUCCUUUAUGGUCUAGUCCCCCCAUAACCAAACCAAACUUAAAUUUUAAUUUAUUUCACUUUUAUUGUGUAUUUCCAAUUUUAAAUUGUUUUUAUUGAAUGUUUUCUCUAAGAAACCACAUAGUACACAGUGAUUCUAGAUGGUGCUGAAUGUUUGUGCUAAAUCC
RNAcentral lists this long non-coding RNA (1380 nucleotides) under Homo sapiens (human). RNAcentral's name for it is "HSALNT0389499". The record is from RNAcentral. Lineage: Eukaryota; Metazoa; Chordata; Mammalia; Primates; Hominidae.